GAUGAACGCUGGCGGCGUGCUUAACACAUGCAAGUCGAGCGAAGCACUUUACUUGGAUUUCUUCGGAAUGACGAGUAUUGUGACUGAGCGGCGGACGGGUGAGUAGCGCGGGGGUAACCUGCCUCAUACAGGGGGAUAACAGAUAGAAAUGACUGCUAAUACCGCAUAAGACAACAGCACCGCAUGGGGCAGUGGUAAAAACUCCGGUGGUAUGAGAUGGACCCGCGUCUGAUUAGCUAGUUGGUGGGGUAACGGCCUACCAAGGCGACGAUCAGUAGCCGGCCUGAGAGGGCGACCGGCCACAUUGGGACUGAGACACGGCCCAAACUCCUACGGGAGGCAGCAGUGGGGAAUAUUGCACAAUGGGGGAAACCCUGAUGCAGCGACGCCGCGUGAAGGGAGAAGUAUUUCGGUAUGUAAACUUCUAUCAGCAGGGAAGAAAAUGACGGUACCUGACUAAGAAGCCCCGGCUAACUACGUGCCAGCCGCCGCAGUAA
Molecule: ribosomal RNA, 497 nt
Filed under: uncultured bacterium
Lineage: Bacteria
Description: partial 16S ribosomal RNA
Rfam family: Bacterial small subunit ribosomal RNA
Source: RNAcentral